Molecule: ribosomal RNA, 613 nt
Filed under: uncultured bacterium
Lineage: Bacteria
Description: bacterial SSU rRNA
Rfam family: Bacterial small subunit ribosomal RNA
Source: RNAcentral
CCUACGGGAGGCAGCAGUGGGGAAUUUUGGACAAUGGACGCAAGUCUGAUCCAGCCAUGCCGCGUGCGGGAAGAAGGCCUUCGGGUUGUAAACCGCUUUUGUCAGGGAAGAAACGGCUUUUUCUAAUACAGAGAGCUAAUGACGGUACCUGAAGAAUAAGCACCGGCUAACUACGUGCCAGCAGCCGCGGUAAUACGUAGGGUGCAAGCGUUAAUCGGAAUUACUGGGCGUAAAGCGUGCGCAGGCGGUUAUGCAAGACAGAUGUGAAAUCCCCGGGCUCAACCUGGGAACUGCAUUUGUGACUGCAUAGCUAGAGUACGGUAGAGGGGGAUGGAAUUCCGCGUGUAGCAGUGAAAUGCGUAGAUAUGCGGAGGAACACCGAUGGCGAAGGCAAUCCCCUGGACCUGUACUGACGCUCAUGCACGAAAGCGUGGGGAGCAAACAGGAUUAGAUACCCUGGUAGUCCACGCCCUAAACGAUGUCAACUGGUUGUUGGGAGGGUUUCUUCUCAGUAACGAAGCUAACGCGUGAAGUUGACCGCCUGGGAAGUGCCGCAAGUUGAAACUUNAAGGAUUGAGGCUUGAGACGNGCGAGGCGACGACGAGGGAGGAGG